This 253-nucleotide ribosomal RNA is filed under the name uncultured bacterium. RNAcentral's name for it is "partial 16S ribosomal RNA". It matches the Rfam family "Bacterial small subunit ribosomal RNA", at positions 524 to 776 of the family's 1533-position model. The record is from RNAcentral.
UACGUAGGCAGCAAGCGUUGUUCGGAAUUACUGGGCGUAAAGCGUGCGUAGGCGGUGUCUUAAGUUUGUUGUGAAAUCUCCCGGCUUAACCGGGAGGGUGCGGCGAAUACUGAGAUGCUGGAGUGCCGGAGAGGUAAGCGGAAUUCCUGGUGUAGCGGUGAAAUGCGUAGAUAUCAGGAGGAACACCUGCGGUGUAGACGGCUUACUGGACGGUAACUGACGCUGAGGCACGAAAGCGUGGGUAGCAAACAGG